Molecule: unclassified non-coding RNA, 332 nt
Filed under: soil metagenome
Description: partial contains 5.8S ribosomal RNA, internal transcribed spacer 2, and large subunit ribosomal RNA
Rfam family: 5.8S ribosomal RNA (bases 1-120)
Source: RNAcentral
GAUGAAGAACGUAGCAAAAUGCGAUAAGUAAUGUGAAUUACAGAAUUCAGUGAAUCAUCGAAUCUUUGAACGCACAUUGCGCCCGCCAGUAUUCUGGCGGGCAUGCCUGUUCGAGCGUCAUUUCAACCCUCAAGCACAGCUUGGUGUUGGGGCUCGCGUUAAUUCGCGUUCCCCAAAUUGAUUGGCGGUCACGUCGAGCUUCCAUAGCGUAGUAGUAAAACCCUCGUUACUGGUAAUCGUCGCGGCCACGCCGUUAAACCCCAACUUCUGAAUGUUGACCUCGGAUCAGGUAGGAAUACCCGCUGAACUUAAGCAUAUCAAUAAGCGGAGGA